CCUACGGGAGGCAGCAGUGAGGAAUAUUGGUCAAUGGGCGCGAGCCUGAACCAGCCAAGUCGCGUGAGGGAGUACUGCCCUAUGGGUUGUAAACCUCUUUUGUCGGGGAGCAAAGUCCGGCCGUUUCCGGCUUUUAUAGUACCCGAAUAAAAAGCAUCGGGUAACUCCGUUCCAGCAGCCGCGGUAAUACGGAGGAUGCGGACGUUAUCCGGAUUUAUUGGGUUUAAAGGGGGCGGAGGCGGGUUUUUAGGUAAGCGGUAAAAUCGUUGGGGUCAACCCCAGACAGCCGUUGAAACUGGGGAUCUUGAGUGCGCGAGAGGUAGGCGGAAUGCGUGGUGUAGCGGUGAAAUGCAUAGAUAUCACGCAGAACCCCGAUUGCGAAGGCAGCAUACCGGAGCACAACUGACGCUCAGGCACGAAAGUGUGGGUAUCGAACAGGAUUAGAUACCCGAGUAGUC
RNAcentral lists this ribosomal RNA (458 nucleotides) under uncultured bacterium. Its description in RNAcentral is "partial 16S ribosomal RNA". It matches the Rfam family "Bacterial small subunit ribosomal RNA", at positions 338 to 795 of the family's 1533-position model. The record is from RNAcentral.